Molecule: non-coding RNA, 29 nt
Filed under: Mus musculus (house mouse)
Lineage: Eukaryota; Metazoa; Chordata; Mammalia; Rodentia; Muridae
Source: RNAcentral
UGGAAACAGCUCUGCCGCGAGAAAGACUU